RNAcentral lists this ribosomal RNA (469 nucleotides) under uncultured Magnetospirillum sp. Its description in RNAcentral is "bacterial SSU rRNA". It matches the Rfam family "Bacterial small subunit ribosomal RNA", at positions 83 to 587 of the family's 1533-position model. The record is from RNAcentral. Lineage: Bacteria; Pseudomonadati; Pseudomonadota; Alphaproteobacteria; Rhodospirillales; Rhodospirillaceae.
AGCAAUACGGGAGUGGCGCACGGGUGAGUAACACGUGGGAAUAUGCCCAGCAGUGGGGGAUAACCGAGGGAAACUUCGGCUAAUACCGCAUACGCCCCUAGGGGGAAAGAUUUAUCGCUGUUGGAUUAGCCCGCGUCCGAUUAGCUAGUUGGUGUGGUAACAGCGCACCAAGGCGACGAUCGGUAGCUGGUCUGAGAGGAUGAUCAGCCACACUGGGACUGAGACACGGCCCAGACUCCUACGGGAGGCAGCAGUGGGGAAUAUUGGACAAUGGGGGCAACCCUGAUCCAGCCAUGCCGCGUGAGUGAAGAAGGCCUUAGGGUUGUAAAGCUCUUUCGGCGGGGACGAUGAUGACGGUACCCGCAGAAGAAGCCCCGGCUAACUCCGUGCCAGCAGCCGCGGUAAUACGGAGGGGGCUAGCGUUGUUCGGAAUUACUGGGCGUAAAGCGCGCGCAGGCGGCUAUUCUAG